GGCCAUGACUCAGUGGUAGAGCAUCUGCUGUGUGCGCAGAAAGUUCCAGGUUCAAUCCCUGAUAUUGCCA
RNAcentral lists this transfer RNA (70 nucleotides) under Sphaerodactylus townsendi. RNAcentral describes it as "tRNA-Thr". It matches the Rfam family "tRNA". Rfam says of the family: Transfer RNA (tRNA) molecules are approximately 80 nucleotides in length. Their secondary structure includes four short double-helical elements and three loops (D, anti-codon, and T loops). The record is from RNAcentral. Lineage: Eukaryota; Metazoa; Chordata; Lepidosauria; Squamata; Sphaerodactylidae.